This 73-nucleotide transfer RNA is filed under the name Nanobdellota archaeon. Its description in RNAcentral is "tRNA-Val". It matches the Rfam family "tRNA". Rfam says of the family: Transfer RNA (tRNA) molecules are approximately 80 nucleotides in length. Their secondary structure includes four short double-helical elements and three loops (D, anti-codon, and T loops). Further hydrogen bonds mediate the characteristic L-shaped molecular structure. tRNAs have two regions of fundamental functional importance: the anti-codon, which is responsible for specific mRNA codon recognition, and the 3' end, to which the tRNAs corresponding amino acid is attached (by aminoacyl-tRNA synthetases). tRNAs cope with the degeneracy of the genetic code in two manners: having more than one tRNA (with a specific anti-codon) for a particular amino acid; and 'wobble' base-pairing, i.e. permitting non-standard base-pairing at the 3rd anti-codon position. Lineage: Archaea; Nanobdellati; Nanobdellota. The record is from RNAcentral.
GGGCUCGUAGUUUAGUGGUUAUGACGCCACCUUCACAAGGUGGAGAUCGGCGGUUCAAUUCCGCCCGAGCCCA